AUGGCGGCCACCCCGCUCGACUCCGCCUGGGAGUGGCUGAUCACCAACUUCAGCGAGUUCCAGCUGGCCACCGUCGUCACCUUCGUCCUCCACGAGAGCGUCUUCUUCCUCUCCGGCUUCCCCUCCCUCCUCUUCGAGCGCUUCGGACUCUUCGCCAAGUACAAGAUCCAGAAGAAGAGCAACACUUCUGAUUACCAGAACAGAUGCGUCAUGCGUCUCAUUCUCUACCAUGUCUGUGUGAAUUUGCCAGUCAUGAUUUUCUCCUAUCCUGCCUUUAAGUUCAUGGGGCUGAGGAGCUCUCUUCCUCUGCCACACUGGACGGUCAUUGUAUCUCAAGUUCUUUUUUAUUUUAUACUCGAAGAUUUCAUAUUCUAUUGGGGGCACAGGGCUCUGCAUACCAAAUGGCUAUACAAGCAUGUCCACAGUGUGCACCAUGAAUAUGCUACACCAUUCGGCUUAACUUCGGAAUAUGCACACCCUGCUGAAAUUUUGUUCCUGGGAUUUGCCACGGUUGUUGGUCCUGCCCUGACCGGCCCUCACUUGUUCACCCUUUGGCUGUGGAUGGUUUUGAGGGUGUUAGAGACGGUUGAAGCUCACAGUGGAUAUCACUUCCCUUGGAGCCCAUCAAACUUCCUGCCACUGUAUGGAGGCUCUGACUUCCAUGACUACCAUCAUCGUGUGCUGUACACCAAGUCAGGAAACUACGCCUCUACUUUUGUUUACAUGGACUGGUUGUUUGGCACAGAUAAGGGUUAUCGCAAGACAAAAGCCAUCGAAGGGGAAGAAGGGAAGCAUUUGUAA
RNAcentral lists this ribosomal RNA (801 nucleotides) under Triticum aestivum (bread wheat). Its description in RNAcentral is "partial small subunit ribosomal RNA". The record is from RNAcentral. Lineage: Eukaryota; Viridiplantae; Streptophyta; Magnoliopsida; Poales; Poaceae.